GAUGAACGCUGGCGGCGUGCCUAAUACAUGCAAGUCGAACGCUUCACUUCGGUGAAGAGUGGCGAACGGGUGAGUAAUACAUAAGUAACCUGGCAUCUACAGGGGGAUAACUGAUGGAAACGUCAGCUAAGACCGCAUAGGUGUAGAGAUCGCAUGAACCCUAUAUGAAAAGUGCUACGGGACUGGUAGAUGAUGGACUUAUGGCGCAUUAGCUUGUUGGUAGGGUAACGGCCUACCAAGGCGACGAUGCGUAGCCGACCUGAGAGGGUGACCGGCCACACUGGGACUGAGACACGGCCCAGACUCCUACGGGAGGCAGCAGUAGGGAAUUUUCGGCAAUGGGGGAAACCCUGACCGAGCAACGCCGCGUGAAGGAAGAAGUAAUUCGUUAUGUAAACUUCUGUCAUAGAGGAAGAACGGUGGAUAUAGGGAAUGAUAUCCAAGUGACGUUACUCUAUAAGAAAGCCACGGCUAACUACGUG
RNAcentral lists this ribosomal RNA (482 nucleotides) under uncultured bacterium. Its description in RNAcentral is "partial 16S ribosomal RNA". It matches the Rfam family "Bacterial small subunit ribosomal RNA", at positions 28 to 507 of the family's 1533-position model. The record is from RNAcentral.